Molecule: ribosomal RNA, 519 nt
Filed under: uncultured bacterium
Lineage: Bacteria
Description: bacterial SSU rRNA
Rfam family: Bacterial small subunit ribosomal RNA
Source: RNAcentral
GAUGAACGCUGGCGGCAUGCCUAAUACAUGCAAGUCGAACGCGUGAGACUAGAAAGCUUGCUUUUUAGAGGAACGAGUGGCGAACGGGUGAGUAACACGUAGGUAACCUACCCUUAUACUUGGGAUAACUGAUGGAAACGUCAGCUAAAACCGGAUAGAUACAGAACAGGCAUCUGUUUUGUAGGAAAGGUGCGAAUGCACUGGAUAAGGAUGGACCUGCGGUGCAUUAGCUAGUUGGUGAGGUAGAGGCUCACCAAGGCGAUGAUGCAUAGCCGACCUGAGAGGGUGACCGGCCACAUUGGGACUGAGACACGGCCCAAACUCCUACGGGAGGCAGCAGUAGGGAAUUUUCGGCAAUGGGGGGAACCCUGACCGAGCAAUGCCGCGUGAGUGAAGAAGGAUUUCGGUUCGUAAAGCUCUGUUGUAAGAGAAAAACGACCUUAGUAGGAAAUGGCUAAGGAGUGAUGGUAACUUACCAGAAAGUCACGGCUAACUACGUGCCAGCAGCCGCCGUAAUAC